UGGGGAAUUUUGGACAAUGGGCGAAAGCCUGAUCCAGCAAUGCCGCGUGUGUGAAGAAGGCCUUCGGGUUGUAAAGCACUUUUGUCCGGAAAGAAAUCCUUGGCUCUAAUACAGUCGGGGGAUGACGGUACCGGAAGAAUAAGCACCGGCUAACUACGUGCCAGCAGCCGCGGUAAUACGUAGGGUGCAAGCGUUAAUCGGAAUUACUGGGCGUAAAGCGUGCGCAGGCGGUUUGCUAAGACCGGUGUGAAAUCCCCGGGCUCAACCUGGGAACUGCAUUGGUGACUGGCAGGCUAGAGUAUGGCAGAGGGGGGUAGAAUUCCACGUGUAGCAGUGAAAUGCGUGGAGAUGUGGAGGAAUACCGAUGGCGAAGGCAGCCCCCUGGGCCAAUACUGACGCUCAUGCACGAAAGCGUGGGGAGCAAACAGGAUUAGAUACCCUGGUAGUCCACGCCCUAAACGAUGUCAACUAGUUGUUGGGGAUUCAUUUCCUUAGUAACGUAGCUAACGCGUGAAGUUGACCGCCUGGGGAGUACGGUCGCAAGAUU
This 547-nucleotide ribosomal RNA is filed under the name uncultured bacterium. RNAcentral describes it as "partial 16S ribosomal RNA". It matches the Rfam family "Bacterial small subunit ribosomal RNA", at positions 355 to 895 of the family's 1533-position model. The record is from RNAcentral.